GGGGAUGUUAUAAAAUCGAUAGAAUGUUCAUUGCAAAGCUGGCAAUCCGGAGUUUAGAUCUCCGUCAUCAAAUCUAACAAAAAGAUAAGUGCCAAAUCACUUAUGGCCAAAGUUAAGAAUGCUUUUGCAUCACUUAGCUUGGCACCUGCAGUAGCCUAAAACCUAUUGCCAUCCGUUUUGUUGAUGCUCGAUGGACAAAAACGGGUGCCACAUUAUCGAGCUUACUGACUUGUUUGCCCCGAAUAGGUCAGAAAAUACUCUGGGGAUAGAUUCUGGAAGUUUCGUUUGUUUUUUAUGCCAGAAUUGAAAUUCAAAGCAAACUAAGUUUGUAGAUAGUUUUGUAGUGGUUUUCUAGACAGGGGUGAAAGGCCCCUCAUCUCCACCA
Molecule: transfer-messenger RNA, 385 nt
Filed under: Patescibacteria group
Lineage: Bacteria
Also listed under: 1 other name
Description: UM-FILTER-42-10 sp002774635 Standard tmRNA
Rfam family: transfer-messenger RNA
About the family: Bacterial tmRNA, also known as 10Sa RNA or SsrA, is named for its dual tRNA and mRNA-like properties. Its role is to liberate the mRNA from a stalled ribosome.
Source: RNAcentral